Molecule: ribosomal RNA, 519 nt
Filed under: uncultured eukaryote
Lineage: Eukaryota
Description: SSU rRNA
Rfam family: Eukaryotic small subunit ribosomal RNA
Source: RNAcentral
AGGGCACCACCAGGAGUGGAGCCUGCGGCUUAAUUUGACUCAACACGGGAAAUCUCACCAGGCCCGGACACCGGUAGGAUUGACAGAUUGAGAGCUCUUUCUUGAUUCAGUGGGUGGUGGUGCAUGGCCGUUCUUAGUUGGUGGAGCGAUUUGUCUGGUUAAUUCCGAUAACGAACGAGACUCUAGCCUACUAAAUAGAUCGUCGGCUUACAAACGCUGAUGAGACUUCUUAGAGGGACAGGCGGCGAUUCAGCCGCACGAAACAGAGCAAUAACAGGUCUGUGAUGCCCUUAGAUGUCCGGGGCCGCACGCGCGCUACACUGAAGUGAUCAGCGUGCAUUUUCAGCCUACUCUGCCAAGAGUGGGAAACCCAAUGAACCUUCUUCGUGAUUGGGAUAGGAGAUUGUAAUUAUUCUCCUUGAACGAGGAAUUCCCAGUAAGCGCGAGUCAUAAGCUCGCGUUGAUUACGUCCCUGCCCUUUGUACACACCGCCCGUCGCUACUACCGAUUGAAUGUUUU